Molecule: long non-coding RNA, 3010 nt
Organism: Asterias rubens (European starfish)
Lineage: Eukaryota; Metazoa; Echinodermata; Asteroidea; Forcipulatida; Asteriidae
Exons: 3
Source: RefSeq, a predicted model, not a curated record
AGUUGUGUCCCGAUGACAGCGGGAGGACAUUAAAAGAAAUAAUGAUUGGCGACGGCGUUACUAAACAUUUAGCAAGGAUGGAUCCAAUGAAGUCCACAAACCUGAAAGGUCUUUUAGAUCUUUUCAUGGACUCUGUCUGACUAGUGUAAAAUUUUACCUGGUUGUAACACUCCGCCCAGCGAAGAUGGCCAUGUGGAACCAGACAUCGAAAGGUCAGAGACGGCGAGCAACUAGAGGAACAUCUUUUUGCUGAAGACUCUCGAGAGUCUGACCAGUAGAUGGCAGUUUUAUCUAUGGAUGUGUGGUGUGGGUGUGUGUUAUCUGUGGAUCUGGAGUCAUCGCUGGAGUCAUCGCCGGAUUCAGGUAAGGAAAACUUGGCAAAAUCCGACCUCCACUCGUAACUUUGUUUUUGCAAUUCAUCUCUUCGAUAGAUUUUGGAAUUUAUUUAUUUAUAAUUUUUGUUAAUUCUCCUGAGCAACUGUAUUUCAGAGACACAACGUUAUUACACUUCAUUUUUUGACGGAGUACAAGAGAAAUUUUUUCCCCCCAAAUUCAUGUGUUUAAACGAUGAUUUUUUAAUUGAACUGAAUGUUAUCAUUGGUAUAAAACUGCUUGAACAAUUAAACUUCCUAAAAAGUAUUAAAAAACAAAGUUACAUUAUUAAACAGCGCUACAGGGGGAAAACCCAAUUCAUGUGUGUUCUCAUGAUUUUUUUAAUGAACUGAAUGGUUAUAAUUUUUCAGUUCCAAAACUGCAAAAUUAUUGGGACAUUUUCUAAAAGUAACGAAAAACAAGGUUACAUUAUUAAAAGAGCGCUAUAGUGGAGGUCGGAAAACGCAGGUUGACCUUAACGUGUAAAAGAGGAGGUGUGAGAAGUCAGCGAAGGGUAAGAGGAGAUCUAACCCGCUCUCUUGCAGAGUCCAACCCCCGUUGUGCCCCCGCCCCAAUGUUCGCCGAUCUUGUUGAUGUGUCCUUGCCAGUAGAGAUUUCAAGGUGACCUCAUCAGAGUUUCCACGGCAUUUCUUAAUUUGCAUAUUGGUCGAAGCCGAUGAUGCUUGAUAGUUUGGAGACUAGUCUUACUGGAAAUUUCUGUUGGGUUGAUACAUCAAGUCAUCAGUUGUUAUGUUUAUUUAAAAUUGUUGUGAUUUUAUAUUAAAAAUAGCGCAAUGCUUAUACAAAACUUAGGAACAGGUCAAUUUAAUUAUGUCUUUAGAAUUAGGGCAAUAAAACAACCCUCCCCAAACCCACCAAAUAUCUUAGAGGUAACCAUGUCUUUAGAAGGGCUAUAGCUCUGGGCUAUUAAACAACCCCUCCCCAAACCCACCAAAUGUCUUAGAGGUAACCAUGUCUUUAGAAGGGCUAUAGCCCUGGGCAAUAAAACAACUCCUCCCAAAACCCACCAAAUGUCUUAGAGGUAACCAUGUCUUUAGAAGGGCUAUAGCCCUGGGCUACAAAACAACCCCUCCCCAAACCCACCAAAUGUCUUAGAGGUAACCAUGUCUUUAGAAGGGCUAUAGCCCUGGGCAAUAAAACAACUCCUCCCAAAACCCACCAAAUGUCUUAGAGGUAACCAUGUCUUUAGAAGGGCUAUAGCCCUGGGCUACAAAACAACCCCUCCCCAAACCCACCAAAUGUCUUAGAGGUAACCAUGUCUUUAGAAGGGCUAUAGCCCUGGGCAAUAAAACAACUCCUCCCAAAACCCACCAAAUGUCUUAGAGGUAACCAUGUCUUUAGAAGAGCUAUAGCCCUGGGAAAUAAAACAACCCCUCCCAAAACCCACCAAAUGUCUUAAAGGUAACCAUGUCUUUAGAAGGGCUAUAGCCCUGGAAAAUAAAACAACCUCUCCCAAAAUUAACCCACCAAAUGUCUUAGAUGUAACCAUAAAGUGUCUUUAGAGCAAUACCCCAGCCCCACCCCCCCUCCCAAUGUCUUAGAGGUAACCAUAAAGUCAACAAUUGUCAGUCCCAUUUUGAUUAGUGUUUGAUUUUGGAGUAGUAAAUAGACAAUUUAGACCAGAGCUAAAUUAAUAUUUACCAUCCGAAUAUCAGCAUAACAUCAAUUCUGACAAUAAAUAAACAACAUGUCUCUGACCAUUGCCCAUUAAACAAAGAUUCAAAUGAUAAUUUAGGAGGGGAGACCUGUUACAAAUACAAACAAGUUGAAGCUCUUUUCAAAAAUACAAAAUGCAAAAAGAAUAAGAAAAAUGCGUAAAAAAUAAGCAAAAUGCAAAAAACUUCUCUAAGCUAUUUAUUUGCCAGCGCUGCGAUAAAGACACAGAAAGAAGAAUGAAGAAAAAGAAGAAGAAAGAGAAAGAGAAAAAAAGGCUGAAGAAGAAGAAAAAGGAGCAGAUCAUCCAAGGGGGAAAAGACACCACCAAUGUUUGGGUUUGUAUGGGUGGUAACCCAGUGUACUGUAGGCCUAGAGUAUUGAACAAAUGUGCCUUUUGAAAAAAAAGUAGAGGACUAAUGCUCUCUUUCAGCACGAUCAUUGGCUAUUGGUAAAGUAUAAAAAGAUAUGACUGUUGUAAGUCUUAGUCUUGAUUCUAAGAUACUCAAUCUUGAAGCAAGAUUAAGAGCUACCCAGUCAUCAGUAAAGCCACAACUUGAGAAGACUCUCCCUUUGAUGUCCCUUGAGUGACUGGAUGUGAGGUCGGGUAUUUGCAGCAAAGGUUAAGUAUCCAGGUCUAACCAGUAUUUUUUUACAGCGAAUAACAAACGUUUUUUUACAGCGAAUAACACACGUUUUUUUACAGCGACUAACAAGCGUUUCUUUUCACAGUGACUAACAAGCCCUGUUUAAACAAGCGUUUCUUUUCACAGCGACUAACAAGCGUGUCUUUUACAGCGAUUAACAAGCGUUUCUUUUACAGCGACUAACAAGCGUUUCUUUCGCAGUGACUAACAAGCCCUGUUUAAACAAGCAUUUCUUUCACAGCGAUUAACAAGCGUUUCUUUCACAGCAAUUAUUAAGCGUUUCUUUCACAGCGACUAACGAGCAUUUCUUUCACAGC